GGACGAACGCUGGCGGCACGCCUAACACAUGCAAGUCGAACGGAGAUAUUUGGUUACUGAGAUAUCUUAGUGGCGGACGGGUGAGUAACACGUGAGCAACCUGCCUUUGGGAGAGGGAUAGCUUCUGGAAACGGAUGGUAAUACCUCAUAACGUAUACUUAAGGCAUCUUAGGUAUACCAAAGAUUUAUCACUCAAAGAUGGGCUCGCGUCUGAUUAGAUAGUUGGUGAGGUAACGGCUCACCCAAGUCGACGAUCAGUAGCCGGACUGAGAGGUUGAACGGCCACAUUGGGACUGAGACACGGCCCAGACUCCUACGGGAGGCAGCAGUGGGGAAUAUUGCACAAUGGGGGAAACCCUGAAUGCAGCGAUGCCGCGUGGAGGAAGAAGGUUUUCGGAUUGUAAACUCCUGUCUUAAAGGACGAUAAUGACGGUACCUUAGGAGGAAGCUCCGGCUAACUACGUGCCAGCCGCUGC
This 476-nucleotide ribosomal RNA is filed under the name uncultured bacterium. Its description in RNAcentral is "bacterial SSU rRNA". It matches the Rfam family "Bacterial small subunit ribosomal RNA", at positions 27 to 518 of the family's 1533-position model. The record is from RNAcentral.